RNAcentral lists this ribosomal RNA (459 nucleotides) under uncultured bacterium. RNAcentral's name for it is "bacterial SSU rRNA". It matches the Rfam family "Bacterial small subunit ribosomal RNA", at positions 28 to 368 of the family's 1533-position model. The record is from RNAcentral.
GAUGAACGCUGGCGGCGUGCUUAACACAUGCAAGUCGAGCGGGCAAUUUAUCUAGCACUGAUUACUUCAAAUGGAAAUCAUAAGUGUAAUCAUGAAUUUCUACCUUUAAUAAAGAAAAAGAAAUUCAUGUACGCAAAUAGUGAUAACACAUUUUAGUGGAGUGAUGAGUGCUGGAUAAAUUGCUAGCGGCGGACGGGUGCGUAACACGUGGGUAACCUGCCCCUAUCACUGGGAUAACACACUGAAAAGUGUGCUAAUACCAGAUAAUAUAAGCUUUUGGCAUCAUUAGCUUAUCAAAGAAUUUCGGAUAGGGAUGGGCCCGCGUCUGAUUAGCUAGUUGGUGAGGUAACGGCGUCACCAAGGCAACGAUCAGUAGCCGACCUCGAGAGGGUGAUCGGCCACACUGGAACUGAGACACGGUCCAGACUCCUACGGGAGGCAGCAGUGGGGAAUAUUGCA